UACAGAGGGGGCAAGCGUUAUUCGGAAUUAUUGGGCGUAAAGGGCGCGUAGGCGGCCUGGCAAGUGGAAGGUGAAAUCCCUCGGCUUAACCGAGGAACUGCCCUCCAAACUGCUUGGCUUGAGUCCGGGAGAGGUGAGUGGAAUUCCCAGUGUAGCGGUGAAAUGCGUAGAGAUGUGGAGGAACACCGAUGGCGAAGGCAGCCCCCUGGGCUAACACUGACGCUCAUGCACGAAAGCGUGGGGAGCAAACAGG
RNAcentral lists this ribosomal RNA (253 nucleotides) under uncultured bacterium. RNAcentral describes it as "partial 16S ribosomal RNA". It matches the Rfam family "Bacterial small subunit ribosomal RNA", at positions 524 to 776 of the family's 1533-position model. The record is from RNAcentral.